UCCGUGCUAUUUUAUCAACCUUUCGAAUGUUGACUAAGCCUGUGGCUGCAUGUUAAUCACUCUGAAACGAUCACUAUUCUAAGCGUGAUGGAGGUUGGGCCUUAAGCUAGAAUAUAUAAUCACCAUAAUAAUUAUAUUAUCAGAAGAUUUCAAUUCCAGGGUAAAGGGAAAUAGUCACAGACACCUCUUAUUUAGACCGAGAACCUUUCGAUUCAUUUCGUAGACCCAGUGGUGUAACGCUUAUGUGCUCUCGUGCGGCGGUCCGCAGGGCCCCGACCCGUAUGGGCCCGGGGCCCAUACCCAUAGGGUCCUCGAUCCAGCACCCUGACCAAAAAGGGCUUUGCUGAUACAUAACAGCAUAAUGUGUCUGACGUCGACAGUAGGACAUCAUACCGUAUUAUUUCCAGUGGCUGAUUCAAUGGGGGGGGGGGGGCUAAAUUUGUCCUUUUUU
Long non-coding RNA from Anneissia japonica, 451 nucleotides. RefSeq lists it as uncharacterized. The record is from RefSeq and is a predicted model, not a curated record. Lineage: Eukaryota; Metazoa; Echinodermata; Crinoidea; Comatulida; Comatulidae. The transcript is spliced from 2 exons.